UACGGAAGGCAGCGGUGGGGAAUAUUGCACAAUGGGCGAAAGCCUGAUGCAGCUAUGCCGCGUGUAUGAAGAAGGCCUUAGGGUUGUAAAGUACUUUCAUCGGGGAGGAAAAAACAAACUAAUAAUUUAUUUCUUGACGUUACCCGAAAAAGAAGCACCGGCUAACUCCGUGCCAGCAGCCGCGGUAAUACGGAGGGUGCUAGCGUUAAUCAGAAUUACUGGGCGUAAAGAGCACGUAGGUGGUUUUUUUAAAGUCAGAUGUGAAAUCCCUGGGCUUAACCUAGGAACUGCAUUUUGAAACUGAAAUACUAGAGUAUCGUAGAGGGAGGUAGAAUUCUAGGUGUAGCGGUGAAAUGCGUAGAUAUCUGGAGGAAUACCUGUGGCGAAAGCGGCCUCCUAAACGAAUACUGACACUGAGGGUGCGAAAGCGUGGGGAGCAAACAGGGAUUUAGAUACC
This 457-nucleotide ribosomal RNA is filed under the name uncultured bacterium. RNAcentral's name for it is "bacterial SSU rRNA". It matches the Rfam family "Bacterial small subunit ribosomal RNA", at positions 340 to 786 of the family's 1533-position model. The record is from RNAcentral.